This 427-nucleotide ribosomal RNA is filed under the name uncultured bacterium. RNAcentral describes it as "partial 16S ribosomal RNA". It matches the Rfam family "Bacterial small subunit ribosomal RNA", at positions 355 to 774 of the family's 1533-position model. The record is from RNAcentral.
UGGGGAAUAUUGGACAAUGGGCGAAAGCCUGAUCCAGCCAUGCCGCGUGUGUGAAGAAGGUCUUCGGAUUGUAAAGCACUUUAAGUUGGGAGGAAGGGCAUUAACCUAAUACGUUAGUGUUUUGACGUUACCGACAGAAUAAGCACCGGCUAACUCUGUGCCAGCAGCCGCGGUAAUACAGAGGGUGCAAGCGUUAAUCGGAAUUACUGGGCGUAAAGCGCGCGUAGGUGGUUUGUUAAGUUGGAUGUGAAAGCCCCGGGCUCAACCUGGGAACUGCAUCCAAAACUGGCAAGCUAGAGUACGGUAGAGGGUGGUGGAAUUUCCUGUGUAGCGGUGUAAUGCGUAGAUAUAGGAAGGAACACCAGUGGCGAAGGCGACCACCUGGACUGAUACUGACACUGAGGUGCGAAAGCGUGGGGAGCAAACA